Phycodurus eques (leafy seadragon) is the source of this 1272-nucleotide long non-coding RNA. RefSeq lists it as uncharacterized. The record is from RefSeq and is a predicted model, not a curated record. Lineage: Eukaryota; Metazoa; Chordata; Actinopteri; Syngnathiformes; Syngnathidae. The transcript has 3 exons.
CGACUGGCCAAAAUCUGUUGCGAUCUGCACAAAUUAAUAGUGAAUAAUUGAUGAUCUCUGAUGUCUCCCAGAGAUUAGAGCCAGAAGUGAACGCCGAAGUCAAUGGCUUCUUAUAAUGCAGUGGAAAUUCAAUGGUAUCUUUUGGGAUCAAGACAAGAGCUCUGUACCGGAGAAUCCAAGUCUGAACAAACUUCCUUCUCUUCUAUUUCCUCGUCAAGGCAGUGACCACAUUUCCACUCCUCUUUCAAAUUUUAUUCGCUUGGUCUUGGAAACAUGAUGUCACUAUCCAAAGUGUUUUCACCUCAGCAAAAGGCCUGUGGGGGAUUAGGUAAGUAGGAGUGAGUCUGUGAUGCACAUCAGAAAAGGUCAAUUUCAAUUUAGAAAAAAAAAAAAAAAAAAAAGACAGAUCUGUUAUUAUUAUUGCAACACAGCCCUUUGUUUACCAUACAGCUUGGUGGUUAAUCACCGAUAUGCCAUUUUUUCUUUUUUCUUUUUUAAACCUGUAUGUACACUUCACACUAACUGUUGGCUCACACUUGUCAGCUAGCCAGAUGAAGAACGAACAACAUAUUGCUUAAACCUCUAGAAUGUGCACACAUGAGGAUGUUCCAGACAUUCAUGCACAGUUGUGGGACGUAACAAAGUACAAAUACUCUGUUACUGUACUUCAUCAGAAUCAGCUUUCUUGGCCAAGUACGUUACAAGACACACAAGCAAUUUGUCAGUAGAUUUUUCAGGUGUCUGUACUUGAGUAUUUAUUUUUCUUAUUUUCUUCUUAAUUUUACUCCCUACAUUUGAAAACAGAUUGACAUACUUUCUACUCCUUACUUGAUCAAAAUAGGUUUGUUACUUUUUUCAACGUUCGUGGAUGUCGACGUGACAUUAAAAGACGUAAAUAGAGGUAAAGCCAACCGCGGUGGAGCUCUUGAUUGGGAGCGCUAACGGCGAUGAUGCAACAGAUUCGGAGAAGCAAGAGGCAGUGUUCCCUCGCCACUUCGCGCUUCACGUUUUGCGGCUUCAGUGCUUCGUGGGUUUUUCCAAAAUAUUCAUGACAAAAAAAAAAAAAAUUCAUCAAAAAAUAAAAAUGAAAAAAUACAGCCAUAUCAGCAGCCAUAUUGCGGAAAGACGCGUUGUUUCAUGUUGAUGCGCGAGAGAGAAGGUUUCCCUGCAUGCCCAACAAAAGAGAUGAGUUGACUCAGAGGCUUUGUAAAUGCCUGUACUGUACUGUACAUGCCACGGGCACUCAUACAAGGCGCGUGAUUGGUUCGACCA